This 497-nucleotide ribosomal RNA is filed under the name uncultured bacterium. RNAcentral's name for it is "partial 16S ribosomal RNA". It matches the Rfam family "Bacterial small subunit ribosomal RNA", at positions 28 to 507 of the family's 1533-position model. The record is from RNAcentral.
GAUGAACGCUGGCGGCGUGCCUAAUACAUGCAAGUCGAGCGAACGGACGAGAAGCUUGCUUCCCGGAUGUUAGCGGCGGACGGGAGAGUAACACGUGGAAAACCUACCUAUAAGACUGGGAUAACUUCGGGAAACCGUAGCUAAUACCGGAAUAUAAUUUGAUCCGUAUCGUUCAAAAGAGAAAUACGGUCUUACUGUUACUUAUAGAUGGAUCCGCGCUGCAUUAGCUAGUUGGUACAGUAACGGCCUACCAAGGCAACGAAGCAUAGCCGACCGGAGAGGGUGAUCGCCCACCCGGGAACUGGAACACGCUCCAGACUCCUACGGGAGGCACCAGUAGGGAAUCUUCCGCAAUGGGCGAAAGCCUGACGGAGCAAGGCCGCGUGAGUGAUGAAGGUCUUCGGUUCGUAAGACCCUGUUUUUGGGGAAAAACAGAUUUGUAAGUAACUGUGCACAUCUUGACGGUACCUUAUCAGAAAGCCACGGCUAACUACGUG